CCUACGGGCGGCAGCAGUGAGGAAUAUUGGUCAAUGGGCGAGAGCCUGAACCAGCCAAGUCGCGUGAGGGAGUACUGCCCUAUGGGUUGUAAACCUCUUUUGUCGGGGAGCAAAAGCCGGACGUGUCCGGCUGUGAGAGUACCCGAAGAAAAAGCAUCGGCUAACUCCGUGCCAGCAGCCGCGGUAAUACGGGGGAUGCGAGCGUUAUCCGGAUUUAUUGGGUUUAAAGGGUGCGCAGGCGGAUUUUUAAGUCAGCGGUAAAAUCGUGGGGCUCAACCCCAUCCAGCCGUUGAAACUGGGGAUCUAGAGUGUGCGAGAGGGAUGCGGAAUGCGUGGUGUAGCGGUGAAAUGCAUAGAUAUCACGCAGAACCCCGAUUGCGAAGGCAGCAUACCGGUGAACAACUGACGCUCAGGCACGAAAGCGUGGGUAUCGAACAGGAUUAGAUACCCCAGUAGUC
RNAcentral lists this ribosomal RNA (458 nucleotides) under uncultured bacterium. RNAcentral describes it as "partial 16S ribosomal RNA". It matches the Rfam family "Bacterial small subunit ribosomal RNA", at positions 338 to 795 of the family's 1533-position model. The record is from RNAcentral.